This 3459-nucleotide long non-coding RNA is filed under the name Mus musculus (house mouse). RNAcentral describes it as "predicted gene, 20300 (Gm20300)". The record is from RNAcentral. Lineage: Eukaryota; Metazoa; Chordata; Mammalia; Rodentia; Muridae.
AGUUUCCCCUGUGCCCGUAUCUUCAAGGCUUUUCCCCACUAUCCCCUCUAUAAGUUUCAGUGUCUCUGUUUUUUUUUUGUUUUUUGCUUUUUUUUUUUUUUUUUUUUUGUGGAGUUCCUUGAUCCACUUAGACUUGAGCUUUGUACAAGGAGAUAGGAAUGGAUGAAUUCGCAUUCUUCUACAUGAUAACCUCCAGUUGAGCCAGCACCAUUUGGUUGCUGUCUUUUUUUCCACUGGGUGGUUUUAGCUCCCUUGUCAAAGAUCAAGUGACCAUAGGUGUGUGGGUCCAUUUCUGGGUCAUCAAUUCUAUUCCAUUGAUCUACCUGUCUGUCGCUGUACCAGUACCAUGCAGUUUUUAUCACAAUUGCUCUGCAGUACAGCUUUAGGUCAGGGAUGAUGAUUCCACCAGAGGUUCUUUUAUUUUUGAGAAUAGUUUUUGCUAUGCUAGGUUUUUUGUUAUUCCAGAUGAAUUUGCAAAUUGCCCUUUCUAACUCUGUGAAGAAUUGAGUUAGAAUUUUCAUGGGGAUUGCGUGAAUCUGUAGAUUGCUUUUGUUAAGAUAGCUAUUUUUACUAUAUUAAUCCUGUCAAUCCAUGAACACUGGAGGUAUUUUCAUCUUCUGAGAUCUUUAAUUUCUUUCUUCAAAGACUUGAAGUUCUUAUCAUACAGAUCUUUCACAUCCGUAGUUAGAGUCACACCAAAGUAUUUUAUAUUAUUUGUGACUAUUGUGAAGGGUGAAGGGACUUGCUGUGGUGGGAGUACUGGGUUCUGAUGAUGCCAAGUGGUAUUGGUUCCUCCUGUUAGUAAGAUUCUUAUGUUUGCCUUUCGCCAUCUGGCAAUCUCUGGUGUUAGAUGUUCUAACUGUCUCUGGGUAUAGCUUGUUCCUCAUGUGAGUCUGUUAGCCUCUCUCAGCACUCCUGGGAGACCAGCUCUCUCCUGAGUCCCAGGGGUCAGCAAGCUCUUCUCUGUUGGGAAGGUGCACAGAGGUCUGAGGAUCAGCUCAGCCUCCUGGCUGAAGGCCCGAAGGGACCUUCCCUGUCCAGUAAGCUCUGUGGCUUCUGUGACCCACGUGAUCUCCUGCUUGGACCAGCCUCAGAGAGAUCCUGGAUAGAAAAUAGCAGUCAGUGCUCUUAACCACUGAGCCAUCUCAUCAGCCCGACUUCUUUGUUUUAGUGCUCAGUUGUAUAAGGUUUUUUGCUUAAGAUACUAUAGCUAAAAGCCCAUUUAAUACAAAUUCUGCUAAUUAAGAUGCAUCCUAUUUUUAAUUCAAGUUUCAUUUAUUAAUGGUAAUAAUAAUAGUUUGUGAUGAAUUAACUGGCAUAAAAAUUUUGAACCUUUUUUACAGUGAAGGAGAAAACUUGGCCACUUUAUGAUAAUUCUGUAGUCUUAUACAUAAAUUUUCGAAAUAAAGAAUACCAUGCCACCAAUAUUGUCUUAUCACGAUGAUAGAAGCAGUUAUGUAUGUGUCAUUUUAACUUGUUUCACACACACACAAACACACACACACACACACACACACACAACUUGUUCAUUUCCUCUUAGCCAUAGGGAAGAGAUUCUCUGAAUCACUCAGUGAAUACACAAAACCCAGGAUAGUACCAAAACCCAUAAUAUAUCCUGUGCUUUUUCAUUAUAUGCAUACCAUACAUAGAUAGUUUAUAACAAGCAUAGAAAAGAUUAAUAACAAUGUUAAUAAAAUAAAAGUUACAACAGUUUACAAUUAAAACAAUGCCAAUGUGCAUGAUUGUACUUGGUUGCCUUAUUAAAUUGAAUAUAGCCACUCUGAUACUAUGACAGUUAAUCUAGUAACUGCAGCAGGUACUAUAAUUGAGUAAUGUAUAUACACUGUGUGGAUGGCUCUCAGCCCAGGUGGGAUAGAGACAAAUGAUGUGAGAUUUCAUUUUUAUGUCCAGAUCUGCAUGUAAUUUAUGAUAUGUGGAUUGUUUAUUUCUGGCAUUUUCAUUUACUAUUUGGUAUUAACCAUAGGUAACCGAAACUAUAAAAGUUAGGUCACAAACGCUGAAGGUCUAGGUAAGAGGCAACUACGUAAAUGUACUUCUAAAUGAGUGUUUAUAAUAACCAGCAACAGUUUUUGUUAUUUUAACAAGAAGAAAUGUGCAGUUUUCCAUGUCAGGAGACAAGGAAGAAGCACAAAUUAGUAAUAUAUGAAAAGUGACAGAAAUUGUUGUCAUAUGGUAUGUUUUUUAUCAAAAGAAAAUGAAAGUAAAUAGUGGUUUGAUCAACACUUACAAAAAAUACUCGAUUUGAAAUAGAGACACAGAUAAAGAAGUUUACCUUGAUAGCAUACUGCUAAUACUAUUGGCAUAUCAUUCAGUGAUAGAGUUUUUUGGGAGUUGUUCUGGAGGUCUCAUCAGACACAGUAGUGAGUGAAGAGAGGUUGAGGUGGUGAAAGCCAAUUCUACAAUGUGCCAAUGUCUAGUAGUGUUGUGCCUGCAUGCACCAAGAAAGAAGCAUAAAGAUCAUAGAGAUCCACUAAGAUUUCUGGGGUUUUUUGAUUGUUUGUUUUGGCAUACUAUUUUGCAAUUUUAAGUAACACACCAUUUAUUGCAGUGCUGGAUUAUAAUAUCUAUAGUUAAGUGUUGUGUAGUAUGAUUAAAAUUCAUUAAUUUAGCAAAUAAUUUUUAAUAUUUAAUGAGCAACAAACACACUGGGAUCCAGGACUAAAGAAAUAAUACCAUUCAUCCUAUGUUUGGUUACCGAUGCUAUGGGACUAAGACAAAAAUAAUUUAUUAAAUCUUAGUGUGUUAUGAAGUGUGGUAAUGUCCAGACGAGUGGCCAGGAGACCUCUGAUAAGAAUAUGUAGUAGGUAGCAGAUAUUGAAAUUCAAGGCUCAGUGUUAGGCAGACUGAUGAUGGGAAAGCCGAAAACCUUGAGUUCUGUUUCCACUGUUAAUUCAUACAAACUUCUAAAUGUCAGUUUACUCACUAGAAAUAGAGUAAGGGUCUGUGAGUUCUCAAAAUUAGAUUUAUAGGUUUUACAACACUGCCUUGUGUAAUAGCUUUCUGAUUAUUUAUAUAGCUGACAAUUUUUUCUAUAGUAGUAAAAAUAUGACAAACUUUGGGAAAAGUGCAAUCUUUGAAUGUUUUUCCGCUGUGAAUUUGCAGUGAUGCAAUUGGUCCCAUGAAUGAUAGUACAGGGAAGGUGGUUAAGGGGUAAUUAGCCGGUUGAUUCUGUUUGUAUAGGUCUAUACUGUCUCACAGGGGCGCAGGGAUGUGUUGCUUACUGCUAGGUGAGGAAACCCUGACGGACCACCUGUGUGGGAUCUCUGGACCUCUGGACAGGUGCAACAAGAAAAUGAAGGAGUCUACAAAGUUGUCCUUUGACCUGCACAAAUGACCUUUAUGUAUUGCUCUCCCCAUGCCUUGUAAAUGGACACAUACACUGGUGAUAACAAAAAUAAAAUAUAAAAUCCUUAAAAGAAAAAAAAAAAAAAAAAAAAA